Molecule: ribosomal RNA, 207 nt
Filed under: uncultured bacterium
Lineage: Bacteria
Description: partial 16S ribosomal RNA
Rfam family: Bacterial small subunit ribosomal RNA
Source: RNAcentral
UGCGUAGGCGGCGGAGUAAGUUGGGUGUGAAAUCCCGGGGCUUAACCUCGGAAUUGCAUUCAAUACUGCUUCGCUUGAGUACUGGAGAGGAGGCUGGAAUUUACGGUGUAGCAGUGAAAUGCGUAGAUAUCGUAAGGAAGGCCGGUGGCGAAAGCGAGCCUCUGGACAGUUACUGACGCUGAUGCACGAAGGCCAGGGAGGCAAACG